UAGCAUAUCAAUAAGCGGAGGAAAAGAAAAUAACAAUGAUUCCCCCAGUAACGGCGAGUGAAGAGGGAAGAGCCCAAAUUUGGAAUCUGGCGUCUUUCAGGCGUCCGAGUUGUAAUCUGGAGAGGCCAUAUUCGUGUCGGACCGUAGCAAAGUCUGCUAUUAUGCAGCGCCAGAGAGGGUGUUAGCCCCGUUUUGUACUAUGGAUCCCCGAUGCUUAGAGUAGGUCUUCAAAGAGUCGAGUUGUUUGGGAAUGCAGCUCUAAGAGGGUGGUAAAUUCCAUCUAAGGCUAAAUAACGGCGAGAGACCGAUAGCGCACAAGUACCGUGAGGGACAGAUGAAAAGCACUUUGGAAAGAGGGUGAAAAAGUACGUGAAAUCACUGAAAGGGAAGCGCUUGAGGUUAGACGUGCAUUGUAUGAUUCAGCCAAUCUUUGGAGAGGUGUAUUUCGUACUAUUGCAGGCCAGCGUCAGUUUUGUGUGCUGGAUAAGGGGUAUAGGGAAUGUAGCAGUAGCUUCGGCUGCUGUAUUAUAGACCUUUACUGGAUACAGCAUGCGGGACUGAGGAACGCAGCGUGCCUUUAUGGCCAAUCCUGCGGGAUUGUGUACGCUUAGGAUGCUGGCAUUAAUAGCCUUAAACGACCCGUCUUGAAACACGGACCAAGGAGUCUAACAUGCUUGCAAGUAUGUGGGUGUCAAGCCCUUGUGCGUAAUGAAAGUAAACGUAGGUGGGAGCCCUUCGCGGGGUGCACCAUCGACCGGCUUGAAACUACGUGUGAAAAGUCUGAGUAGGAGCAAGUAUGUCGGGACCCGAAAGAUGGUGAACUAUGCCUGAAUAGGGUGAAGCCAGAGGAAACUCUGGUGGAGGCUCGUAGCGGUUCUGACGUGCAAAUGCGAUGCGUCGAAUUUGGGUAUAGGGGCGAAAGACUAAUCGAACCAUCUAGUAGCUGGUUUCCUGCCGAAG
This 960-nucleotide ribosomal RNA is filed under the name Tritirachium oryzae. RNAcentral describes it as "LSU rRNA". It matches the Rfam family "Eukaryotic large subunit ribosomal RNA", at positions 36 to 966 of the family's 3401-position model. The record is from RNAcentral. Lineage: Eukaryota; Fungi; Basidiomycota; Tritirachiomycetes; Tritirachiales; Tritirachiaceae.